This is a ribosomal RNA of Lepisosteus oculatus (spotted gar), 119 nucleotides long. NCBI's taxonomy places the organism in Eukaryota, Metazoa, Chordata, Actinopteri, Semionotiformes, Lepisosteidae. The record is from Ensembl.
ACCAGCAGCCAUAUCACCCUGAAACUCACAACUGGCAACCCACUGAAGCUAAGCAGGUCUAAGCCUGGUCAGUACCUGGAUGGGAGACCUCCUGGGAAAAACUAAGGUUGCUUCUGGAA